RNAcentral lists this ribosomal RNA (420 nucleotides) under uncultured bacterium. RNAcentral describes it as "bacterial SSU rRNA". It matches the Rfam family "Bacterial small subunit ribosomal RNA", at positions 356 to 773 of the family's 1533-position model. The record is from RNAcentral.
GAGGAAUAUUGGUCAAUGGGGGGAACCCUGAACCAGCCAUCCCGCGUGCAGGAAGACAGUUCUAUGGAUUGUAAACUGCUUUUCUUGGGGAAGAAUAAUGACGACGUGUCGUCAGAUGACGGUACCCGAGGAAUAAGCAUCGGCUAACUCCGUGCCAGCAGCCGCGGUAAUACGGAGGAUGCAAGCGUUAUCCGGAUUUAUUAGGUUUAAAGGGUGUGUAGGCGGAUGUAUAAGUCAGUGGUGAAAGUCAGCAGCUUAACUGUAGAAUUGCCAUUGAUACUGUAUGUCUUGAGUGUGGUUGAGGUAUGCGGAAUGUGUAAUGUAGCGGUGAGAUGCAUAGAUAUUACACAGAACACCGAUUGCGAAGGCAGCAUGCUAAGCCACAACUGACGCUGAUGCACGAAAGCGUGGGGAUCAAAC